Molecule: ribosomal RNA, 489 nt
Filed under: uncultured bacterium
Lineage: Bacteria
Description: bacterial SSU rRNA
Rfam family: Bacterial small subunit ribosomal RNA
Source: RNAcentral
AACUACGGCUGGCGGCGUGCCUAACACAUGCAAGUCGUACGAGAAAGCCGGCUUCGGCUGGUGAGUAAAGUGGCGCACGGGUGAGUAACGCGUGGAUAAUCUGCCCUUAAGUGUGGAAUAACGUACCGAAAGGUGCGCUAAUACCGCAUAAUGCCUGGCAACACAAGUUGUCCGGCCAAAGAAGGCCUCUGUUUACAAGCUUUCGCUUCAGGAUGAGUCCGCGUACCAUUAGCUUGUUGGUGGGGUAAUGGCCUACCAAGGCUGCGAUGGUUAGCUGGUCUGAGAGGAUGAUCAGCCACACUGGAACUGAGACACGGUCCAGACUCCUACGGGAGGCAGCAGUGAGGAAUAUUGCGCAAUGGGGGAAACCCUGACGCAGCGACGCCGCGUGGAGGAUGACGGCCUUCGGGUUGUAAACUCCUGUCAGAAGGGACGAAAUCCCGCAAGGGACUGACGGUACCUUCAGAGGAAGCCCCGGCUAACUACGUG